GUACAAGGUUUCCGUAGGUGAACCUGCGGAAGGAUCAUUGUCGAAACCUGCCCAGCAGAACGACCCGCGAACGCGUUUAUAAACCGGGGGAUCGCCGUGGGAUCCGUCCGGCGUCGGUCCCUCAUCGGGGCCCGGGCGAGGGAGGCGGGAUCGGGCUAUGCCUUUCCCCCGCAACCCCCAGCCCGUGGUCCCGCUAACAAAACCCCGGCACCGAACGUGCCAAGGAAUUGAAAUUGAAAAGGUCGCACGSCCCGGGCGCCCCGGGAACGGUGAGCGUCCGGGACUCGUUGCGCUUUUGAGAAACAAAACGACUCUCGGCAACGGAUAUCUCGGCUCUCGCAUCGAUGAAGAACGCAGCGAAAUGCGAUACUUGGUGUGAAUUGCAGGAUCCCGCGAACCAUCGAGUCUUUGAACGCAAGUUGCGCCCGAAGCCUUCUGGCCGAGGGCACGUCUGCCUGGGUGUCACUCAAUCGUCGCCCCAACCGCAUCUCCCCCUUUACAAGGGAGGGACGUGGGCGGGGCGGAUGCUGGCUUCCCGUGUGCUCAUAGCCCGCGGUUGGCCCAAAUGCCCGGUCCUAGGCGUCUGCGCCACGGCAAUCGGUGGUUGCAAGACCCUCGCUUGACGCCGUGUGCGCUCGGCUGCCGUCGGGACCCAUGACCCCAAAGCGUACCCAAGGGUGCGUUCGCUCUGCGACCCCAGGUCAGGGGGGAUUACCCGCUGAGUUUAAGCAUAUCAU
Molecule: small RNA, 737 nt
Filed under: Euphorbia glareosa
Lineage: Eukaryota; Viridiplantae; Streptophyta; Magnoliopsida; Malpighiales; Euphorbiaceae
Description: eukaryotic LSU rRNA
Rfam family: 5.8S ribosomal RNA (bases 310-465)
Source: RNAcentral